This 334-nucleotide ribosomal RNA is filed under the name uncultured eukaryote. Its description in RNAcentral is "partial 18S ribosomal RNA". It matches the Rfam family "Eukaryotic small subunit ribosomal RNA", at positions 1470 to 1796 of the family's 1831-position model. The record is from RNAcentral.
CCCUUAGAUGUCCGAGGCCGCACGCGCGCUACACUGAAGGAAUCAGCGUGGCUUUCUCCCUGACCCGAAAGGGUUGGGAAACCCGUUGAAUCUCCUUCGUGAUAGGGAUUGGGGCUUGAAAUUGUUCCCCAUGAACGAGGAAUUCCCAGUAAGCGCGAGUCAUAAGCUCGCGUUGAUUACGUCCCUGCCCUUUGUACACACCGCCCGUCGCUACUACCGAUUGAACGGUUUAGUGAGGGCCUCGGAUUGGUCUCGGCCCGCUCUUUACCGGGCGGCGCCGUUGGUCGAGAAGACGCUCGAACUUGAUCGUUUAGAGGAAGUAAAAGUCGUAACA